AGUUAAUGUCUGGUAAUUAAAUUGCUCAUUUUCUUUAGAAAAAACAAUUAAUUCUGCGUUGGAUUUAUUUUAUUUCCAAGAGUCUUUUUUUUUUGUUUGCCUUUUGCGUUGGUUUAACGCUAAGUUGUUCUCAUGUUAUCCUCUCUUUUUUCUUUCUGUCGCAAUAGUCCAAACUGGAAUCGCAAAAUGAAAAAUUAAGACAUUGCAGCAUUAGUGUCAACAUCAAUAACAUGAUCUUCUUUCCGUUUGGAGAUUUACUACAAAAUGAACGUGAAAGUUAAAGUAAACACUGAUCAGUUAUUUUGUUAUUACAUUCGGCUCAAAACUUGGUCAAUGAACAAAAAGCUAAAGCUAAUCGGUCUACAGAGUUUUCAAAAUUUUGGUAUCAUUUUGGCACUCUUCUAAGUAUUACGUAUUUGCCGAACACAUUCUUCUCCUGCCACUUGUAAGGGAUGAAGAACGAUCUAUACUUUGCUGGCGAUAGCUCUCUGUCCAGAUAAGGUAACACCGCUAUAGCCUG
Brassica rapa (field mustard) is the source of this 520-nucleotide long non-coding RNA. RefSeq lists it as uncharacterized. Lineage: Eukaryota; Viridiplantae; Streptophyta; Magnoliopsida; Brassicales; Brassicaceae. The record is from RefSeq and is a predicted model, not a curated record.